CUACGGGUUGCUGCAGUUAGGAAUCUUCUACAAUGCGCGCAAGCGUGAUAGAGUGAGCCAGAGUGUUUUCCUAUUUGGAAGACUUUUGCCAAAUGUAAAAAGUUUGGCGAAUAAGGACUGGGUAAGACUAGUGCUCAGCCGCCGCGGUAAUACUAGCGGUCCAAGUCGCAGCCAUUUUUAUUGGGUCUAAAACAUCCGUAGCUUGUUUAAUAAGUUCUCUGUGAAAUCCCAUGUCUUAAGCAUGGGGCGUGCAGGGAAUACUGUUAAGCUAGAGACUGGAAGACGUAAGAAGUAUGGUCAAAGUAGUGGUAAAAUACUUUAAUCUUGGCCAGACUCACAAUAGCGAAGGCAUCUUACGAGGACAGUUCUGACAGUAAAGGAUGAAGGCUAGGGGCGCAAAACGGAUUAGAUACCCUAGUAGUC
This 423-nucleotide ribosomal RNA is filed under the name uncultured archaeon. Its description in RNAcentral is "partial 16S ribosomal RNA". It matches the Rfam family "Archaeal small subunit ribosomal RNA", at positions 323 to 746 of the family's 1478-position model. The record is from RNAcentral.